RNAcentral lists this long non-coding RNA (231 nucleotides) under Lathyrus oleraceus (garden pea). Its description in RNAcentral is "Pisum sativum (pea) long non-coding RNA (PSAT_LNC020986)". Lineage: Eukaryota; Viridiplantae; Streptophyta; Magnoliopsida; Fabales; Fabaceae. The record is from RNAcentral.
UGAGACAAUGAACAAAUCCAAGGAACUCUUUAAGAGCCCUAAAUAUUACAAAACAGGUAUCAAUGAGGACUGCCACACAUUACACAAUUUCAAAAAAAAAACCAAAAAAACAUCUGCAUCCAUAAAGCAUCAUCAGACAGAACAGCUUCACAGUCUUCACAGCACACCUCAUACAGUCUUCAGUCUUUAACAAACAAGAGGGGGAACCAUCUAUCAGAGGAAGAAGUAUCA